AUGAAGGGGUGGGGCGCCAACCUGGGGCGUGACCUCCGCGAGCGCAAGAAGGCCCUAUUGACCGCCAUCCAGGCCCUGGACCUUCGUGCCGACGCGCUGGGUCUCUCUCCUGAGGAGUGGCUUGCCCGAUACAACUUGGAAGACCAGCUCUAUGUCAUCUACGCCGACGAGGAGACCUAUUGGCGCUUGCGUGGUUCCCAAAAAUUGGUGCUGAAUGCCGAUGCAAACACAACCUAUUUCUAGGCCAUUGCGAAUGGUCUCCGUAGACGCAACACCAUCCCCCUCCUUUGGGAUGGCCCGACUCUCCUACAGUCCCCUCGUGAAAUUAGGGCCCAUGUCGACGGCUUCUAUAGGUCCCUAUUCUCAGCCAUUCUUCGGAGUGGUUUAUCUCUGGACCAUGACUGCUGGUCUGGCCGCCAGCUAGUCUCCCAUGCGGAGAACACGACCCUUACGGCCCCCUUCUCCGAGGGCGAGGUCUAGGCUGCAAUUAGAGACAUGAACCCUACCUCGGCCCCGGGUUCGGAUGGCCUACCAGUUAAAUUCUUCCAGACCUUCUGGAAUGUGAUCAAGCCUGAGAUCAUGGCCAUCUUCGGCGAGUUCUACGUAGGGUCCAUCGACCUCGGGCGUCUCAACUAUGGGAUCAUUUCGCUCAUCCCCAAGGUGCCUGGGGCGUCUGACAUCCGCCAGUUUCGUCCGAUGACGAUGAUUAAUGUGAUCUUCCAGAUUCUGGCAAAAGGGUACGCCAAUAGGGUGACCCUUCUUGCCGACCACAUUACCCACCCCAACCAUUCCACCUUCAUCCAAGGCCGAUAUAUCUUGGAUGGGGUGCUAGUCCUUCAUGAAGUCCUACAUGAGGUCCGAUCCAAACACUUCAAGGCGGUCUUCUGA
This 888-nucleotide ribosomal RNA is filed under the name Triticum aestivum (bread wheat). RNAcentral's name for it is "partial small subunit ribosomal RNA". The record is from RNAcentral. Lineage: Eukaryota; Viridiplantae; Streptophyta; Magnoliopsida; Poales; Poaceae.